This is a long non-coding RNA of Cydia pomonella (codling moth), 5713 nucleotides long. RefSeq lists it as uncharacterized. The record is from RefSeq and is a predicted model, not a curated record. The transcript is spliced from 2 exons. NCBI's taxonomy places the organism in Eukaryota, Metazoa, Arthropoda, Insecta, Lepidoptera, Tortricidae.
UUGUAGCAAGUAAAGUUCUUGAAGACAUUUGUGUCAUAAGGUCUAGUUCUGAGGAUGGGUUCCAUGAGAAAUCGAAGAAAUUCCUCAAAUCUUAUAGGCAUACAAUACAUACAGUAAUGUUUGGAUUCUCGUCAACAUAUCAAGCAUUUUUAUUUAAACAAGUUAGUGAUAUUGACCAGAACGGAACUCUUCAACGCGCGCGAUUCUUAUUCUUUGUUAAGUUUGUAGCAAGCUAGGUUCUUAGGAAACAUUUGUGUCAAGGUCCAGUUCUGAUGAUGGAUUCAAUGAGGAAUUGAGGAUUUUAAAUCGAUUUGAAUUCACAAUUAGGAGGAAUUGAGGAUUUUCGUCAACAUAUCAAGUUUUUUUUAUUUGAACAAGUGAUAUUUGAUGAAGUGAAACUGCUGAUAUUACUGAAACUAUGCUGAUACUGCUGAAAUGGAACUCUUCAACGACAAGUAUUUUACCUUAGGCGUUUUUUUUAUUUUAUUUCGUUUAUAGCAUGUAAGGCUUUUAAGGAACAUUUGUGUCAAGGUCCAGUUCUGAUGAUAGGUUCUACGAGAAACUGAAGGAGCUUCUCAUAUUGUAUAGGAUAGGCAUACAUAUAGUCAUUUUAGGAUUUUCAUCAAUAUUACAAGCAUUUUUACUCAAUAAAGUGACAUUUGUUGAAGUAGAAUUGCUGAUGAAGAACGGAACACCUCAACGACUUCCAGAUUCUUUAUUUUUAUUACUCUUCUUUCUUUUUCAUUAUUCUUAGAACAGGUAUUUCUACGAAGUGGACCGAACUGCUACUAUUAAAAGUAGGUAGGUAGGUAGGUUAAAUAGGUUAAAACUGUAAGGAUUAUUAUGUAUAAGUAGUUUCUUUUAAUUAAACAUAGGUAAGUAAUUCUAUUUAAGUAUAAGUAUCUUUAAAAAAAACAUCAAUCGACUCUUAUCUGUCACUAGUUCCAGUUUCAGAGUAUAAAAUCCGGGUACACAGCCACGGCUAGCCGGGUAGCCAGACAGUUCGAAUACGGACAAGUUAUUGUGAAUAAAAAAUCUUAUCGUCUUGCAAAAGUUAAUGUCAUAAAUGUAUAGGUUUCGAAUACAUGAAUAUAAACUGAAAAUGCUGGUAAAAGUAUUAGUUUUUAUCAUUAACCAUUUUAUAUCCCAACAAAACUGUUACCCUUACAAAAAUAAAAUGCUUUCAUUACCUAAUGUAGGUUACGUUAGGUAAUAAAUAAAUAAAUAUGUAGGGACAAUCUUACACAGAUUGGCCCCAAACUAAUCAAAGCUUGUACUAUGGGUACUAGGCGACGUUAAACAUACUUAUUUAGAUAAAUAUAUAUUUACGUAUAUACAUAAAAAACACGCAAGCCUUAGGAACAAAUAUCUGUAUUCAUCACACAAAGAAAUGCCCUUACGCGAUUCAAACUCGGGACCAUCGGCUUCAUAGGCAGGGUCACUACCCACUAGGCCAAACCGGUCGGCAAAAGGUAAAGAUAAUUAGGUAAAGACAAUGAAUAAUUAAACGUAUUAUAAAUUGACACCAAUAUCCAUCAAAUAGUAUAACUAGGUAUGCUAAGAGCGGGCUUCAGGCCAUUACGUCGCACCUUUAGAAUUAAAUUAAUUUGACUCAAAAAGUACGACUACUUUAUAUAUGUAGUUUGGUAGAACAGUAAGAACUCACUAUAUGUGUCUCUUUUUCAUGCGGUGAAAUCCCCCCGACCCGGAAAGGAUAGCGACGCCCAUUUUAUCGACUCUCGAGUCGACUCCAAUCUGAUACUAAUAAAACCAUACGGAAAUAAUGAGGAUGCAUCGACAUAAGAAGAAUCGAACAUGGGCAAGAUAAAGUUCAAGAAAAAAGCAAAUAUAAUGUGUACUUGUGUGUAGUCAAAGAAAGUUGAAAAAUAAAGCAUAAUUAAUGGCCAUAGAAUACAGAACCGAUACACGAACAUUAAGACUAUUAAAAAUAGACAUUUAGGUUGAUCGUACUACUCGUACUAAUGUAUAUCUUUUGUUCAAUUAUAUUAUUGCAUUAAAGUUAGAUUCUCUAGAUAUAUAUUAUUCAUAGGUUCUGUAUUCUAUACGAAUUGUUUCAGUGUAAUUAUUGUACUAAAUACCGUUGACCGCCUGUCAACAGUAUUUAUUUCUACAUUACUAUCACAGAAGAUUUUAGGCCCUACCGUACAGUUUUUGAAUUAGUAUUUACUAUGGACAUAUAUAGCGAAAUGUGAGUUUUUACCUAAAAUAUCAAUCUUUUGUGAACGUGGUGUAGAGUAUAUACCGCCUAAGACUGAAGUAGCUACGCGGGUUACGUUUUAAAAAUAGAAUCGUGUUCAUGGUCGGCCCAUGGUAAAAAUAAUUAGGUACCCGUAGACCCGCUGGUGAACACUGUUUAUGAUAACACUUAAAAUAAACCCCGUGGACCCACCAGGAGAACAUAUUGGAGAGACUAGAGAUAAUACACCGCUUUAAGGGCGGUCGCACUCGGCAUUGACAUCUGGCAUCUAGAUGGCGGGUGGACCUCAGCGAAUUUCAAAGAAAUAUUUAUAAACAUCCAAUGACGUUCGGCUCGGACACCAGAUCUUCAAUCUCCUGAUUCCUGUGGAGUCUCCAGGUUCCAUCCUCUCCACGUGUGAGUCCUAGGAUUUUUCGCGCUGCCAGACUCCGAUGACUCGGGCACGUAGUCCAGAUGGGUGAGGAUCGUGCAGCCUGGAGGGCGUACUCUGAAGUUCCAAAUGGCCGAAGACCAUCUAGACGUCCUAGGUAGGUCCCGCUGGAGAGACGAAAUGCAAAAAGACCUUAGCGAACUCGGCGCCGUCGACUAGAUGGAAACGGUUUUGGACAGAGAAGCAUGGCGGUCUUUGGUGUCGGAGGCCAAGAUCCACUUCGGGUCGCUGCGCCAUAGCAGUAAGUAUUUAUAAACAUACUGUACCUUCUGUGUACCUAACCCAAAACGAGAUAUUUAAGAAAAAGUCCACCCGCCAUUCUGACGUCUGGAUUGCGGUUGGACCUAUGAAAUCUUGCAUUAUACCGCACUAAAAGUAUGCAGUUAUAUGGUACAGUCGCCAUCAGAUAUAUCGGAGUGGCCGAGGUGCUCAAAGAUCUCUAAACACGCACUCUAACCUCUUGACAGUAGAGGCAUGUUCAGAUAUUCGUGGGUACCUUGGCCGCUCCGAUAUAUAUGAUGGUGACUGUACCUUCAGUGUACCUCUGUAAAUAGAAAUAGAAACCGGUGUACCUCUCCCCAAAACAAGCUAGGCUAAGCUCAUGCACAAUAUAACUGCAUACUUUUAGUGCGGUAUAAUGCAAGAUUUCAUAGGUCCACCCGCCAUCCUGACGUCAGGUUGGCGGGUGGACCGUUUUGUAAAAUAUCUCGUUUUGGGGAAAGGUACACUGGUUUCUAUUAAAGGUACACUGAGGUACACAGAAGGUACAAUAUGUUUAUAAAUAUUUCUUUGAAAUUCGCUGAGGUCCACCGCCAUCCUGACGCUUACCAUAUAUCUAAGGACCGACCUUAGGGGCAAUAACGAUAGUGCUAGUUCAGUUGUGUCAUUCACAAAUUCGAGCCAAUCGUGCUGUCUAACGCAACUAGAUGCGAUCAAUCGCGUGCGUAAUGCGAACUCAUCAACCAAUCACGUUGUGGUACUUGUGGCGUUAGACUGCACGAUUGGCUCAAACUCGUGUGCGUAACACCGCUGUACUGGCCCCAUUCUUAUUGCCCGUAAGGCCCGUCCUCAGAUAUAUUAUGUCAAUGACACAGUCGCGAUUUUAAAAAAUCACAUCGCUUCUGCUACCAAGUUGUUGAGCAUAACGUUUUCCUAUCCAUAGGUUCCAUCUGUCCAGUAGGAUCCACCAUCUCGAUCCACCAGAUUGAAGAGAUUGUUACUUAACUGAUGGAUCGAGAUAAUGAAACCUACUGAAUAGAGCGGGUCGAUUGGAUAUAACAAAGUACGCUUAUAUGAAACGCUACUCCGGUGUGCGAGUGAGACAGUCAGGCCAAUUUGAACUUGCAUUUGACAGAAAAUUGUCUCCAUCAAACGCUACCAGUUCCAUUGCCGGCCUCUUCGCUGCCUUCUAUAGUGGUUCAAUCUUACCUUGCUUAUGAAUAAAAAGGGGCGUGCACACCGAUAUUAGAGUAAUAUUGGAAUCAUAUCAGUUAAUUGCGGGCGUCUCGCUCGCACAAAUACAUGCGUAUAAGUGCGAAAUGAACGCACGAAUGACAGCUAACUGGUAUCAUUCCAAUAUUAUUCUAAAAUUGGUUUAAUGUCAGUUGCACUUUCGAAUUGGCCUACAUAGCGAUUUCCUUAGCCUGCACACCGGAUCGGCGUGUGGGCCGGCAUCUAGCUAAUGUAAAGCCACCUCAUUAGGUGCUUUUAGCCUUUUGAACGGCAAGAACACCUAAAGAUGUGGUGAGAGAAAGCCGCGCGUCCCUCAUGCACUGCACUAGCUUUACAGCUUGCAUUGCGACCAAUGUAUGCCGCUCACCGCCCCGCCGGUCGCGUGGGUCCAAUCCGCGGCCCUAGAAGACGUACUUUACAUAUAAACAAGAGCACGCGAGCAUAUUGCGAGUUGUGUAUGUGUACUUGUGUUAUCUAAGCGCACAAACGGUUACAAUAACAAGAAGUGUACACCGCGUGUGCAGUCCAACACGGGAGCACGGGUGCGAUUCGAAAAUAACGCGCUAGCGACGCAUUACGACAUUGAUACUUUACCAUUUGAAUGCCAUAAACAAAAACGUUACUCACACGCCAAGGUCACGGGCGCAAGUGAGCUUGAAAGUGCAUGAGUAUUACAUUAGGGACUUUGACAGCGAUUAUAACAGCUAUAAUCAUUAAUGUGUUCAUGGCCCUUAAAUCAUGUCUAGUGACGGCGCCUUUAGGUGUUCUUGACGUUCAAAAGGUUAAGGGCGUUUGCUAGCUGGCGCUAAUGCACGGAGCGGGCAAACACGCGCAGGUGCCUUUGUAAGUAAAAUCAGUCGCACGCGUCCGCGCCAGUUAGCGUUGCUGAUACUGUAAGCCGCACGCCCGCUCCAUGCACACGCGCGACGUUGCGGACGCCCUAUGCCCUAAACCUUACUUGAAAGUGUGAAGGUUACUCUGACAGCGGCUAUAUCAGCUAUAAUGUAUUUAUGACGCUUUGAGCAUAGCUAGUUAAGACGCCUUAAGGUAUUCUUGGCGUUUAAAAGGUUAAGGGCGUUUGCUAGCUGGCGCGAGUGCACGGAGCGGGUGCACGCGCGCGGGUGCCUUUGUAGGUAAAAUUCGUUGCACGCGUCCGCGCCAGUUAGCGUCGCCAGUUACUGUUUUUCGUUAACCCGCUCCAGCUAGCAAACUAAUCGCAAAUGGUCCGAGAUUGGCGCAAUAACCAUGCAUUACCUUAUCUGGAUCUGGAUGCACCUAUUCACCAAUGCUUGCUUUAAAGUAACUUGUCGACUCGUCCUGAUAAUAUUUGUGCGACCGUGAAGAAAAUCUAUGCCGUCACUUAUUUUUCAAUUUAUAUGAAAUAAAGAUGUUAAAUGUAUUCAAAAGUUUUUAUUUAAUAAGGUAUGUAUAAGUGCUCUGUGCAUCCGCACCAGCUAGCGGUGCCCUUAGCAAACCAAUCGCAAAUGGUCCGAGAUUGGCGCAAUAACCAUGCAUUCUCUUAUCUGGAUCUGGAUGCACCUAUUCACUAGAAAAUGUAUGCCGUCAGUUAUUUUUCAAUUUAUAUGAAAUAAAGGUGUUAAAUGUAUUCAAAA